CUAAGUGGCGGACGGGUGAGUAAUGUAUAGUUAAUCUGCCCUUUAGAGGGGGAUAACAGUUGGAAACGACUGCUAAUACCCCAUACUCCUUUUAUCUUAAUGAUAAUUGGGAAACGUUUUUUCGCUAAAGGAUGAGACUAUAUGGUAUCAGGUAGUUGGUAGGGUAAGAGCCUACCAAGCCAAUGACGCCUAGCUGGUCCGAGAGGAUGAUCAGCCACACUGGAACUGAGACACGGUCCAG
Molecule: ribosomal RNA, 241 nt
Filed under: uncultured bacterium
Lineage: Bacteria
Description: partial 16S ribosomal RNA
Rfam family: Bacterial small subunit ribosomal RNA
Source: RNAcentral